GCUUAAUUAAUAAAUUAAUGAAUAAAUAAAUUAAUAGGAAUUCUAAAUAACCAAAAUAAAUGGUGUAGAGCCAAAUUAUGAUAGGCCUAAUUAAUACUACAAUUUAUAAGCCCAAAAUUAAUAAUGAAAUAAAAUAAAAGCCAAGCCCAAUCCAUUCCCUUUUAGUGAUAUUAAAAACAAAUGAGCAAUAUAAUUCCUUAGCCACAAACCAAAGAAGUUUCCAGAGAAGGAAAAAAAGAAAGAAGCCUCAUCUCUUCUUCUUCACCAAGAAGAAAUAUUUUCCUACACCAUCCAUUAAAGCUUGAGGUUUGGGAAUUCAAGCUUCUAUUGUUUAUUAUCUACCUCUAGCAACAAUAAAAUAAGAUCGUACGGGUAUUUGGAUUGGAGAAAUAGAGAAUUUGGAGGGUUAAACAACGGGCUAUUUUAUUGUGCUUUAUGAAAUUUGGAUUAAGCGAUCGAGUGUUUUCUUUCAGGAUUAAUACUUGAUGAUGUGGUCGAGCUUCCAUCCAUUGUUCCGGAAGUCUCAAUUAUGGGGAGUCUUAUUUUUCUUAGAGCUGCAGUAGUCAAGAUAUUAGAGUUAGCUUGUAGCAAACAAUUUACGUUUAUUUUAUGCCAUGACAUAAUGAUGUAUUUUGAGAAAAUGAAUUAUCCAGGAAUUUAAUAUAUGGUUAGUUGGUAUUUUA
This is a long non-coding RNA of Mercurialis annua (annual mercury), 683 nucleotides long. RefSeq lists it as uncharacterized. The record is from RefSeq and is a predicted model, not a curated record. Lineage: Eukaryota; Viridiplantae; Streptophyta; Magnoliopsida; Malpighiales; Euphorbiaceae. The transcript has 3 exons.